GAUACUUCCUAAUCACUCCUUUACUGACAAUGUGCAAGAAUUCACACAGAGCUGGCAGGUGAACAAGUGCAGUCUCAUGCAGAAGAAAGUGGAGCCGUGUACCACUACAGCUAAGCAAAAAGUCUGUAAAGUGCUUUUUGAAGAAGCUCACUCGCUUCUUAGGAACUGCUUCAAAGUUGUGGACCCUGAACCAUUCUACAGCAUGUGUAUGCAUGACACCUGUGAAUCAAAUGAGUUGAAAGCUGCCUGCAGCUUAGCAGCAGCAUUUGUUCACUUGUGCAACCGAAAUUUUGUCCCUGUGGAAAUUCC
This 309-nucleotide long non-coding RNA is filed under the name Apteryx owenii (little spotted kiwi). RNAcentral describes it as "lncRNA (ENSAOWG00000002874.1)". Lineage: Eukaryota; Metazoa; Chordata; Aves; Apterygiformes; Apterygidae. The record is from RNAcentral.